GAUGAACGCUGGCGGCGUGCUUAACACAUGCAAGUCGAACGGAAAGACCCUGCGUUUGUGCGGUUCUCGAUUGGCGAACGGGUGAGUAACACGUGUGUAUCCUGCCCUUGACUUUGGGAGAACUUCAGGAAACUGGGGCUAAUACAGGAUAGGAUCUCCUGCAGCAUGGUGGGGAUUGGAAAGUGUCGGCUGUUGGGGAUGGACUGGCGGCUUAUCAGCUUGUUGGUGGGGUAGUUGAUUACCAAGGCUAUGACGGAUAGCCGGCCUGGGAGGGUGAACAGCGACCAGGGGCCUGAGAGAGGGAGCAGUCGGGAACGGGCGGCAAUGGUGGAGAACAUGGCACAGCGGGCGGGAGUGUGUGGUAGAGGCCCUCGGUUCGUAAAGACCUCUUUCUGGUUGUGAACCGCUGUCGCCUGAGACGAAGCGUUAUUGACGGUAACUAGUAAAGAAGCACCGGCUAACUACGUG
Molecule: ribosomal RNA, 468 nt
Filed under: uncultured bacterium
Lineage: Bacteria
Description: partial 16S ribosomal RNA
Rfam family: Bacterial small subunit ribosomal RNA
Source: RNAcentral